GCGGAGCUUCUGCUGGAUCUCGGGAUGGUUAACAAGCUCAGCAAUGCCCCAUUCAAUUGACCAUAAGGUUGUUUCAAUGGCUGCAUCACAAUGAGAUUGCUUGAGUUCAUAGACUUGACCCAUAAAUAAUAAAUAAUUUUUUAUUAAA
This is a long non-coding RNA of Hibiscus syriacus, 148 nucleotides long. RefSeq lists it as uncharacterized. NCBI's taxonomy places the organism in Eukaryota, Viridiplantae, Streptophyta, Magnoliopsida, Malvales, Malvaceae. The transcript has 3 exons. The record is from RefSeq and is a predicted model, not a curated record.